CACAUCAUUAAGCCUCUUAUUUCUCAAUUUGUUCCCACGUCAUUUCUGUCACUGUCCCUAAAAUAAAACUGCCAUGGACUUUCAUUGGAACAAAUGCAAAAAAAUUUUUGUAAGUCUACUGGCAAAGCACACUGAAGAGUAAUGCCAACACUAUGCUUCUUCCUACACUACCAUAAGGACUGAUGGCAUUCCAGGAACGAUUAUGACCAAAGACUUUCUCAGUAGGGAGAGGAGGGGAAGUCUUCCAGUGGGAUGCUACAAGAAUCUGUGUGAGAUUCGGUUUCAUUUAACAACAUUAGUAGUGAAUGGAAAGUGGAGAUCCAGGGUAACUGCAUCUGUAUUCCCGCCUCGUGGUCCCUCGACGGCACUAACUCUAGGCUCCUGGCUGCUGAGCUGUCAUCUCUUUCCCUCCUGACUACAGGAUCUUUAAAGGCGGCACCAGUUCCUUGCCUAGACUGUGAUAUUCUCAGCAAGCCAGACUGCUUAAAAGGCCAGUGUCUACACUUUGCUUUCUCAAGGGCUAUGCCUAAUGUACUGCUCAAAGUUAUAAGUUACCACAGAGCUCUUUCU
This is a long non-coding RNA of Trachemys scripta elegans, 570 nucleotides long. RefSeq lists it as uncharacterized. Lineage: Eukaryota; Metazoa; Chordata; Testudines; Emydidae. The record is from RefSeq and is a predicted model, not a curated record. The transcript is spliced from 3 exons.